CCUACGGGUGGCUGCAGUGGGGAAUAUUGGACAAUGGGCGAAAGCCUGAUCCAGCCAUGCCGCGUGUGUGAAGAAGGCCUUCGGGUUGUAAAGCACUUUCAGUGGGGAAGAAAGCCUUGGGGCUAAUACCCUCGAGGAAGGACAUCACCCACAGAAGAAGCACCGGCUAACUCCGUGCCAACAGCCGCGGUAAUACGGAGGGUGCGAGCGUUAAUCGGAAUUACUGGGCGUAAAGCGCGCGUAGGCGGUCUGAUAAGCCGGUUGUGAAAGCCCCGGGCUCAACCUGGGAACGGCAUCCGGAACUGUCAGGCUAGAGUGCAGGAGAGGAAGGUAGAAUUCCCGGUGUAGCGGUGAAAUGCGUAGAGAUCGGGAGGAAUACCAGUGGCGAAGGCGGCCUUCUGGACUGACACUGACGCUGAGGUGCGAAAGCGUGGGUAGCAAACAGGAUUAGAUACCCGAGUAGUC
Molecule: ribosomal RNA, 465 nt
Filed under: Vreelandella stevensii
Lineage: Bacteria; Pseudomonadati; Pseudomonadota; Gammaproteobacteria; Oceanospirillales; Halomonadaceae
Description: partial 16S ribosomal RNA
Rfam family: Bacterial small subunit ribosomal RNA
Source: RNAcentral